CAACAGCGCGAAAGGAGGUGAUCCGAUGUCUCAUGGUUCAGCAGAGAGGUCGGUACAGUCCCGCGCGAGGCAUUAUCGCUGAGUUUCGAUUAAGCGAUAAAGGCUUCGUGGGCGGCACUUCCGGCCGCUGACCAUGCGAAGGGCCGCUUCGGAUUGACCGACGCGGCCC
Molecule: small RNA, 169 nt
Filed under: Novosphingobium taihuense
Lineage: Bacteria; Pseudomonadati; Pseudomonadota; Alphaproteobacteria; Sphingomonadales; Sphingomonadaceae
Description: caulobacter sRNA CC2171
Source: RNAcentral